RNAcentral lists this ribosomal RNA (381 nucleotides) under uncultured eukaryote. RNAcentral describes it as "partial 18S ribosomal RNA". It matches the Rfam family "Eukaryotic small subunit ribosomal RNA", at positions 592 to 976 of the family's 1831-position model. The record is from RNAcentral.
CAAUAGCGUAUAUUAAAGCUGUUGCGGUUAAAAAGCUCGUAGUUGGAUUUCUGUCAAGGACAGCUGGUCCGCCCUCCGGGUGAGCACAUAGUUUGGUCUUGACAUCUUGCUGGAAGCUGUUGCUGCACUUGGCUGUGUGGCGCAGUGUUCAGCACUUUCACUUUGAGGAAAUUGGAGUGUUUCAAGCAGGCACAUGCCUUUGGACACAGUAGCAUGGAAUAAUUAGAUUGGGCUUUUGCUCCAAUUUGUCGGUUUCUGGAGCUGAGGUGAGUAUUAAUGGGGAUUGUUGGGGGCAUCCGAAUUUAGCCGUCAGAGGUGAAAUUCUUGGAUCUGCUAAAGACGGACAACUGCGAAAGCGUUUGCCCAGGAUGUUUUCAUUGA